ACUUCUCUUAGACAGCAUAGAAAUAAAGUAACGACAAGGAGUCCAGAAAUAGCAGCAACUCAUUUGACUGGAGAAAUCAAGGAAGGCUUAAUGAUCACAGAGGCACAUAUGCUUUACUGUCCACUGCUAUAAGACUUGAGUAGACAAGCUUGUGAAGCCCUGGUCUAAACCACACCAAAAAGUAGCUCAAGCAGAGCCCUGAAGAUCAACUGUCACAUCACAGCUAUCUGAAAGUUGCCUUUGAUUUUAUGCCAGUUUCUAAGCAGCUUUGGGGACCUAUCUGGUCCAGAUCCACCACCCUUAAAAGGGGAGAAAGAAGCAUCUCUCCUGUUGAAAUACCACACACAUCUCUCAGAAGAGUGAAUUCAUAUUUUUACUCUAUUAUCUCCUCUGCUCCUUUUCCCUUUUUUCUAAAACAAGAUUUGAUCCCCAACUUUAACCUCCUUCCUCAAGAUGCUUUCUCUUUACCUUCCAUAGAGAAAGAAUGUCUUCAAAACUAUUUUGUGAAAACCAGGACCCCACUCCAAGCUUCUGGUAAUAACUUCCUCAAAAAAGUGAAGACACAGAGUAAACAUGACAAUCAAACACACGGAAAAUAAGGAUCUCUCCUAAUUCGGUAAAAUCACAGCACUAACAUAAGAGCUUGAGAAAAUAUAAAAGUGAAUCCAUCAUUUUAUCUUUGAAAUACUUUACUAUCUAUAUAUGUUUGUGAUUCCAAUGUCUUUCUAAUGGUCUUGAUUGAAAAAUGAGGAUUUUUUUUUCGUUAUCUUUGAGUAAUCCCAGAAAAGCAUAAUAGCUCAUCAUUAUAGGGAAGAUCAUAACAAUGCCAGAAAGAACAAAAAAUCAAAUGCUUCUCUUUCCAUUACUUAAUACCAACUAGCUCAAUAAAUAUAUAUUUUUUUAAAUGGUUAUUUCCCAGGUUUCUAUUUAAGUUAAUGCAGCAAUAUACCCAAUUUGUACUCCUAGUUAACUACUCUUAGCCCUUGGAGACUACAGUACUCAAUUAGUUAUAUGCUUUUAGUCAUUUGCCUCUUUGCAUCUUUCUUGAAAAUCCACAGUUGAUAAUCACAAGAUUCAAGCUGAGGUAAAAUAUUGUCAGUAUUUUUAAGCACCAUUUGGCCAAAAACACUGCGUGGGAACACAUACACACAUACACGUACACACACACACACACACACACACACACACACACGCUGAUGAGUCACAGGCAGACUGUAGCAUGUUAUUUUGAGACUUCCCUGCCCACCAUAACACUGCCACACAUCUGGCCCAUCUUCAAAAUGGUGAUUCGCUGGAGAAGUGUUCCUGCUACUCUCCAAGGCCAGGUGACACCAAUGCAAGAGUAAUAUAUAAUUUCCAGCCCCCUACUUCCAGAGUUUUCAUAGGGAACAUGAAAAAAAAUUUUAAUAAAAGUCAAUGUGGAAAACAUGUGCUCUCAUAAUCUUAAAUAGGCUUUAAACUAU
Long non-coding RNA from Mustela erminea (ermine), 1463 nucleotides. RefSeq lists it as uncharacterized. NCBI's taxonomy places the organism in Eukaryota, Metazoa, Chordata, Mammalia, Carnivora, Mustelidae. The record is from RefSeq and is a predicted model, not a curated record. The transcript is spliced from 3 exons.